CCUACGGGUGGCAGCAGUGGGGAAUAUUGGGCAAUGGGCGCAAGCCUGAACCAGCAACGCCGCGUGAAGGAAGAAGGCUUUCGGGUUGUAAACUUCUUUUAUCAGGGACGUAACAUAUGACGGUACCUGAUGAAUAAGCCUCCGCUAACUACGUGCCAGCAGCCGCGGUAAUACGGAGGUGGCAAGCGUUAUCCGGAUUUACUGGGUGUAAGGGGAGCGUAGACGGCAGGACAAGUCUGGUGUGAAAUGCCGGGGCUUAACCCCGAAACUGCUUUGGAAACUGGGCGGCUAGAGUUCAGGAGAGGUAAGUGGAAUUCCUAGUGUAGCGGUGAAAUGCGUAGAUAUUAGGAGGAACACCAGUGGCGAAGGCAGCUUACUAGACUGUAACUGACAUUGAGGCUCGAAAGCGUGGGGAGCAAACAGGAUUAGAUACCCGAGUAGUC
RNAcentral lists this ribosomal RNA (443 nucleotides) under uncultured bacterium. RNAcentral's name for it is "partial 16S ribosomal RNA". It matches the Rfam family "Bacterial small subunit ribosomal RNA", at positions 338 to 795 of the family's 1533-position model. The record is from RNAcentral.